GAAGUGUGUGUGGUCAGUGCUGUGUGGGGUCAGGUCUGCUCAGAGAUCCAGAUCACACCAGCACCUUUCCAAGGGAACUUGAAAAGGGGAAGGACAAAGCGCAAUUAUUAUGAAGAUAAGGAGCUUUUGUGAGUCAGUGUUUUCAGUUUCCCACUCCUGGGGAGUUUGGGGGUUGAGAAGUGGAAAUGGAGCUCUCUUGUUGGACAAGUCACCGAGACUC
Long non-coding RNA from Empidonax traillii (willow flycatcher), 220 nucleotides. RefSeq lists it as uncharacterized. The transcript is spliced from 3 exons. Lineage: Eukaryota; Metazoa; Chordata; Aves; Passeriformes; Tyrannidae. The record is from RefSeq and is a predicted model, not a curated record.